This 728-nucleotide long non-coding RNA is filed under the name Homo sapiens (human). RNAcentral's name for it is "TTN antisense RNA 1". The record is from RNAcentral. Lineage: Eukaryota; Metazoa; Chordata; Mammalia; Primates; Hominidae.
CUCUGUGACUGGCUUGCUUGAUGGUUAGGGUCUGAUCGCUGCCUGAGACACCAUAUCGGUACUCCUCAGAGUUGGUGUAUAUUUAGUUUUUUAUUAGGAAAAAUGACCAUCAUGAAUGCUGUUACAUCUUUGCCUAUAAUACUCAGCAGAAUCUUACCAUUUUCUGCGAGGAUAGUCACUGGAUCAGAAGGUUCAGAAGAGAAUAGACGCCUUGAUGGCUCCUCUGGCAGUUCUUGAUGACCAUGGAUGAGCUAAUGGCUGUGGUCUCAAUGGUGGCUUCUUGAGGAGCAUGCAGAGAAAUUGCUUUAGCCUCUGAUAAAUAAAACAGACUGCGAGGAAAAUUACAGCGAGGAAAUUACAGACAUCAUCUCCUUUGAACAGGGAAAAGGUAACAGGUUGUAAUUGCAGUGGAAGGGGAGACCAAACAUUCAAAGAUUGCUGAAGAGCCAACGAACUCUGAUUCUGUCAAGAUGAUGUCUUUGAUUUCUUUCACAAACUUCAGUGGCACAGCCUUUAGCUGUUUAGGAAAAUGCAAGAAGACAUAUGUAGAUGAGACAAAGAUAGACCAUGUCUAUACAUGUAUGAAAUGGAUGGGAGACAAAGGAAGCAACACUCAUGAGCCAGGACCAUAAAAGCCACAGAAAUAUAAGAAAUGAAUGGGACUACUCUCUGAUCAUUGAAAAAGAGAGACAGAACAUUCGAUGGAGGCAGAAAGAGCAAGGAGUCAG